RNAcentral lists this ribosomal RNA (467 nucleotides) under uncultured bacterium. RNAcentral describes it as "partial 16S ribosomal RNA". It matches the Rfam family "Bacterial small subunit ribosomal RNA", at positions 28 to 507 of the family's 1533-position model. The record is from RNAcentral.
GACGAACGCUGGCGGCGUGCUUAACACAUGCAAGUCGAACGGAAAGGCCCUGCUUUUGUGGGGUGCUCGAGUGGCGAACGGGUGAGUAACACGUGAGUAACCUGCCCUUGACUUUGGGAUAACUUCAGGAAACUGGGGCUAAUACCGGAUAGGAGCUCCUGCUGCAUGGUGGGGGUUGGAAAGUUUCGGCGGUUGGGGAUGGACUCGCGGCUUAUCAGCUUGUUGGUGGGGUAGUGGCUUACCAAGGCUUUGACGGGUAGCCGGCCUGAGAGGGUGACCGGCCACAUUGGGACUGAGAUCCGGCCCAGACUCCUCCGGGAGGCAGCAGUGGGAAUAUUGCACAAUGGGCGGAAGCCUGAUGCAGCAACGCCGCGUGCGGGAUGACGGCCUUCGGGUUGUAAACCGCUUUCGCCUGUGACGAAGCGUGAGUGACGGUAAUGGGUAAAGAAGCACCGGCUAACUACGUG